UCCCAGAUAGCUCAGUGAGUAAAGAAUCUGUCUGCAAUGCAGAAGACACAAGAGACUCAGGUUCAGUCCCUGAGCUGGGAA
Molecule: transfer RNA, 81 nt
Filed under: Bos taurus (domestic cattle)
Lineage: Eukaryota; Metazoa; Chordata; Mammalia; Artiodactyla; Bovidae
Also listed under: 5 other names
Rfam family: tRNA
About the family: Transfer RNA (tRNA) molecules are approximately 80 nucleotides in length. Their secondary structure includes four short double-helical elements and three loops (D, anti-codon, and T loops). Further hydrogen bonds mediate the characteristic L-shaped molecular structure. tRNAs have two regions of fundamental functional importance: the anti-codon, which is responsible for specific mRNA codon recognition, and the 3' end, to which the tRNAs corresponding amino acid is attached (by aminoacyl-tRNA synthetases). tRNAs cope with the degeneracy of the genetic code in two manners: having more than one tRNA (with a specific anti-codon) for a particular amino acid; and 'wobble' base-pairing, i.e. permitting non-standard base-pairing at the 3rd anti-codon position.
Source: Rfam by way of RNAcentral